This 497-nucleotide ribosomal RNA is filed under the name uncultured bacterium. Its description in RNAcentral is "partial 16S ribosomal RNA". It matches the Rfam family "Bacterial small subunit ribosomal RNA", at positions 28 to 507 of the family's 1533-position model. The record is from RNAcentral.
GAUGAACGCUGGCGGCGUGCCUAAUACAUGCAAGUCGAGCGAACAGAUGAGGAGCUUGCUCCUCUGACGUUAGCGGCGGACGGGUGAGUAACACGUGGAUAACCUACCUAUAAGACUGGGAUAACUUCGGGAAACCGGAGCUAAUACCGGAUAAUAUAUUGAACCGCAUGGUUCAAUAGUGAAAGACGGUUUUGCUGUCACUUAUAGAUGGAUCCGCGCCGCAUUAGCUAGUUGGUAAGGUAACGGCUUACCAAGGCAACGAUGCGUAGCCGACCUGAGAGGGUGAUCGGCCACACUGGAACUGAGACACGGUCCAGACUCCUACGGGCGGCAGCAGUAGGGAAUCUUCCGCAGUGGGCGGAAGCCUGACGGAGCAACGCCGCGUGAGUGAUGCAGGUCUUCGGAUCGUAAAACUCUGUUAUUAGGGAAGAACAAAUGUGUAAGUAACUAUGCACGUCUUGACGGUACCUAAUCAGAAAGCCACGGCUAACUCCGUG